This 1120-nucleotide ribosomal RNA is filed under the name uncultured bacterium. RNAcentral's name for it is "bacterial SSU rRNA". It matches the Rfam family "Bacterial small subunit ribosomal RNA", at positions 9 to 1093 of the family's 1533-position model. The record is from RNAcentral.
GAGUUUGAUCCUGGCUCAGGACGAACGCUGGCGGCGUGCUUAACACAUGCAAGUCGAACGAUGAUCCGGUGCUUGCACCGGGGAUUAGUGGCGAACGGGUGAGUAACACGUGAGUAACCUGCCCUUGACUCUGGGAUAAGCCUGGGAAACCGGGUCUAAUACCGGAUACGACCUUUCACCGCAUGGUGGUUGGUGGAAAGAUUUUUUGGUUUUGGAUGGACUCGCGGCCUAUCAGCUUGUUGGUGAGGUAAUGGCUCACCAAGGCGACGACGGGUAGCCGGCCUGAGAGGGUGACCGGCCACACCGGGACUGAGACACGGCCCAGACUCCUACGGGAGGCAGCAGUGGGGAAUAUUGCACAAUGGGCGAAAGCCUGAUGCAGCGACGCCGCGUGAGGGAUGACGGCCUUCGGGUUGUAAACCUCUUUCAGCAGGGAAGAAGCGAAAGUGACGGUACCUGCAGAAGAAGCGCCGGCUAACUACGUGCCAGCAGCCGCGGUAAUACGUAGGGCGCAAGCGUUGUCCGGAAUUAUUGGGCGUAAAGAGCUCGUAGGCGGUUUGUCGCGUCUGCUGUGAAAGCCCGGGGCUCAACCCCGGGUCUGCAGUGGGUACGGGCAGACUAGAGUGCAGUAGGGGAGACUGGAAUUCCUGGUGUAGCGGUGAAAUGCGCAGAUAUCAGGAGGAACACCGAUGGCGAAGGCAGGUCUCUGGGCUGUAACUGACGCUGAGGAGCGAAAGCAUGGGGAGCGAACAGGAUUAGAUACCCUGGUAGUCCAUGCCGUAAACGUUGGGCACUAGGUGUGGGGGACAUUCCACGUUUUCCGCGCCGUAGCUAACGCAUUAAGUGCCCCGCCUGGGGAGUACGGCCGCAAGGCUAAAACUCAAAGGAAUUGACGGGGGCCCGCACAAGCGGCGGAGCAUGCGGAUUAAUUCGAUGCAACGCGAAGAACCUUACCAAGGCUUGACAUGGACCGGACCGCCGCAGAAAUGCGGUUUCCCUUCGGGGCUGGUUUACAGGUGGUGCAUGGUUGUCGUCAGCUCGUGUCGUGAGGCAACGCUGCGGUGAAUACGUUCCCGGGCCUUGUACACACCGCCCGUCAAGUCACGAAAGUUGGUAACAC